Molecule: transfer RNA, 72 nt
Filed under: Marmota monax (woodchuck)
Lineage: Eukaryota; Metazoa; Chordata; Mammalia; Rodentia; Sciuridae
Also listed under: 2 other names
Rfam family: tRNA
About the family: Transfer RNA (tRNA) molecules are approximately 80 nucleotides in length. Their secondary structure includes four short double-helical elements and three loops (D, anti-codon, and T loops).
Source: Rfam by way of RNAcentral
CUGGGGAUAGCUCAGCGGUAGAGCAUUUGCCUGGCAUGCCUGAGGCUCUGGGUUCAAUUUCUAGUACCAAUA